AGGCUUAAUACAUGCAAGUCGAGCGGUCUCUUUCGGGGACAGCGGCGGACGGGUUAGUAACGCGUGGGAACGUGCCCUUUAGUACGGAAUAGCCAUUGGAAACGAUGAUUAAUACCGUAUACGCCCUAUGGGGGAAAGAUUUAUCGCUAAAGGAUCGGCCCGCGUUAGAUUAGGUUGUUGGUGGGGUAAUGGCCUACCAAGCCUACGAUCUAUAGCUGGUUUGAGAGGAUGAUCAGCAACACUGGGACUGAGACACGGCCCAGACUUCUACGGAAGGCAGCAGUAGGGAAUCUUGGACAAUGGGCGAAAGCCUGAUCCAGCCAUGCCGCGUGAGUGAUGAAGGCCCUAGGGUUGUAAAACUCUUUCGC
This 368-nucleotide ribosomal RNA is filed under the name uncultured Alphaproteobacteria bacterium. RNAcentral's name for it is "bacterial SSU rRNA". It matches the Rfam family "Bacterial small subunit ribosomal RNA", at positions 44 to 439 of the family's 1533-position model. Lineage: Bacteria; Pseudomonadati; Pseudomonadota; Alphaproteobacteria. The record is from RNAcentral.